This 326-nucleotide ribosomal RNA is filed under the name uncultured eukaryote. RNAcentral describes it as "partial 18S ribosomal RNA". It matches the Rfam family "Eukaryotic small subunit ribosomal RNA", at positions 1470 to 1796 of the family's 1831-position model. The record is from RNAcentral.
CCCUUAGAUGUUCUGGGCCGCACGCGCGCUACACUGAUGAAUUCAACGAGCACUAACCUGUGCCGAAAGGUUCGGGUAAUCUUGUGAAAUUUCAUCGUGAUGGGGAUUGAUUAUUGCAAUUUUUAAUCAUAAACGAGGAAUGCCUAGUAAGCGUGAGUCAUCAGCUCACGUUGAUUACGUCCCUGCUCUUUGUACACACCGCCCGUCGCUCCUACCGAUUGAAUGUGCCAGUGAAAAGUUAGGAUUGGGCGUGGGAGACGGCAACGUAUUCCACAUCCGAGAAAAUCUUUAAACUUUCCCAUUUAGAGGAAGGAGAAGUCGUAACA